CCGGGGGGACGGAGAAGGUUAGCUCAGCCGGGUGUUGGACGUCCCGGUUUAAGCGUGUAGGCGUGCUGCAUAGGCAAAUCCGUGCGGCUUAGCUGAGGCGUGAUGACGAGGAUCUUCGGAUCUGAAGUGAGUGAUACCCAGCUUCCAGGAAAAGCCUCUAAGCUUCAGUUACAGAUUGACCGUACCGCAAACCGGCACAGGUGGGCAGGAUGAAAAUUCUAAGGCGCUUGAGAGAACUCAGGAGAAGGAACUCGGCAAAUUGAUACCGUAACUUCGGGAGAAGGUAUGCCUCGGUAGCGUGAAGCCCCUGCGGGUGGAGCGUGAUGAGGUCGCAGAGAAUCGGUGGCUGCAACUGUUUAAUAAAAACACAGCACUCUGCAAAGGCGAAAGCCGACGUAUAGGGUGUGACGCCUGCCCGGUGCCGGAAGGUUAAGUGAUGGGGUGCAAGCUCUUGAUCGAAGCCCCGGUAAACGGCGGCCGUAACAAUAACGGUCCUAAGGUAGCGAAAUUCCUUGUCGGGUAAGUUCCGACCUGCACGAAUGGCGUAAUGAUGGCCACACUGUCUCCUCCUGAGACUCAGCGAAGUUGAAAUGUUUGUGAAUAUGCAAUCUACCCGCGGCUAGACGGAAAGACCCCAUGAACCUUUACUGUAGCUUUGCAUUGGACUUUGACGGGACUUGUGUAGGAUAGGUGGGAGGCUGUGAGGCGUGGUCGCCAGAUCGCGCGGAGCCAACCUUGAAAUACCACCCUGGUGUCGUUGAGGUUCUAACCUUGGUCCGUGAAUCCGGAUCGGGGACCGUGCAUGGCAGGCAGUUUGACUGGGGCGGUCUCCUCCCAAAGAGUAACGGAGGAGUACGAAGGUCUUCUAAGCACGGUCGGACAUCGUGCUCAUAGUGCAAUGGCAAAAGAAGGCUUGACUGCGAGUCCAACAAGACGAGCAGGUGCGAAAGCAGGUCAUAGUGAUCCGGUGGUUCUGUAUGGAAGGGCCAUCGCUCAACGGAUAAAAGGUACUCUGGGGAUAACAGGCUGAUUCCGCCCAAGAGUUCAUAUCGACGGCGGAGUUUGGCACCUCGAUGUCGGCUCAUCACAUCCUGGGGCUGUAGCCGGUCCCAAGGGUAUGGCUGUUCGCCAUUUAAAGUGGUACGUGAGCUGGGUUUAAAACGUCGUGAGACAGUUUGGUCCCUAUCUGCCGUGGGCGCUGGAAAUUUGAGGGGGCCUGCUCCUAGUACGAGAGGACCGGAGUGGACGGAUCUCUGGUGUACCGGUUGUCACGCCAGUGGCAUCGCCGGGUAGCUAAAUCCGGAAGAGAUAAACGCUGAAAGCAUCUAAGCGUGAAACUCGCCUCAAGAUGAGAUUUCCCGGGGGUUCAACCCCCCUGAAGGGUC
RNAcentral lists this ribosomal RNA (1385 nucleotides) under metagenome. Its description in RNAcentral is "bacterial LSU rRNA". It matches the Rfam family "Bacterial large subunit ribosomal RNA", at positions 1464 to 2836 of the family's 2925-position model. The record is from RNAcentral.